This 72-nucleotide transfer RNA is filed under the name Ictidomys tridecemlineatus (thirteen-lined ground squirrel). RNAcentral describes it as "Spermophilus tridecemlineatus (thirteen-lined ground squirrel) tRNA". It matches the Rfam family "tRNA". Rfam says of the family: Transfer RNA (tRNA) molecules are approximately 80 nucleotides in length. Their secondary structure includes four short double-helical elements and three loops (D, anti-codon, and T loops). Further hydrogen bonds mediate the characteristic L-shaped molecular structure. tRNAs have two regions of fundamental functional importance: the anti-codon, which is responsible for specific mRNA codon recognition, and the 3' end, to which the tRNAs corresponding amino acid is attached (by aminoacyl-tRNA synthetases). tRNAs cope with the degeneracy of the genetic code in two manners: having more than one tRNA (with a specific anti-codon) for a particular amino acid; and 'wobble' base-pairing, i.e. permitting non-standard base-pairing at the 3rd anti-codon position. The record is from Rfam by way of RNAcentral. Lineage: Eukaryota; Metazoa; Chordata; Mammalia; Rodentia; Sciuridae.
GGGACUGUAGCUCAGUGGUAGAGCACUUGCCUAACAUGCAUGAGACUCUGGGUUCAAUCCUCAGUACUGCAA